RNAcentral lists this ribosomal RNA (497 nucleotides) under uncultured bacterium. RNAcentral describes it as "partial 16S ribosomal RNA". It matches the Rfam family "Bacterial small subunit ribosomal RNA", at positions 28 to 507 of the family's 1533-position model. The record is from RNAcentral.
GAUGAACGCUGGCGGCGUGCCUAAUACAUGCAAGUCGAGCGAACAGACGAGGAGCUUGCUCCUCUGACGUUAGCGGCGGACGGGUGAGUAACACGUGGAUAACCUACCUAUAAGACUGGGAUAACUUCGGGAAACCGGAGCUAAUACCGGAUAAUAUAUUGAACCGCAUGGUUCAAUAGUGAAAGACGGUUUUGCUUUCACUUAUAGAUGGAUCCGCGCCGCAUUAGUUAGUUGGUAAGGUAACGGCUUACCAAGGCAACGAUGCGUAGCCGACCUGAGAGGGUGAUCGGCCACACUGGAACUGAGACACGGUCCAGACUCCUACGGGAGGCAGCAGUAGGGAAUCUUCCGCAAUGGGGGAAAGCGUGACGGAGCAACGCCGCGUGAGUGAUGAAGGUCUUCGGAUCGUAAAACUCUGUUAUUAGGGAAGAACAAAUGUGUAAGUAACUAUGCACGUCUUGACGGUACCUAAUCAGAAAGCCACGGCUAACUACGUG